This 403-nucleotide ribosomal RNA is filed under the name Verrucomicrobiota bacterium. Its description in RNAcentral is "Verrucomicrobia bacterium partial 16S ribosomal RNA". It matches the Rfam family "Bacterial small subunit ribosomal RNA", at positions 355 to 776 of the family's 1533-position model. The record is from RNAcentral. Lineage: Bacteria; Pseudomonadati; Verrucomicrobiota.
UGGGGAAUAUUGCACAAUGGGGGAAACCCUGAUGCAGCGACGCCGCGUGAGCGAUGAAGGUUUUCGAAUCGUAAAGCUCUGUCCUAUGAGAAGAUAAUGACGGUAUCAUAGGAGGAAGCCCCGGCUAAAUACGUGCCAGCAGCCGCGGUAAUACGUAUGGGGCGAGCGUUGUCCGGAAUUAUUGGGCGUAAAGGGUACGUAGGCGGUCUAUUAAGUCAGGUGUGAAAGCGUGAGGCUUAACCUCAUUAAGCACUUGAAACUGAUAGACUUGAGUGAAGGAGAGGAAAGUGGAAUUCCUAGUGUAGCGGUGAAAUGCGUAGAUAUUAGGAGGAAUACCGGUGGCGAAGGCGACUUUCUGGACUUUUACUGACGCUCAGGUACGAAAGCGUGGGGAGCAAACAGG